This 347-nucleotide long non-coding RNA is filed under the name Zea mays. RNAcentral describes it as "long non-coding RNA (ZMAY_LNC004045)". The record is from RNAcentral. Lineage: Eukaryota; Viridiplantae; Streptophyta; Magnoliopsida; Poales; Poaceae.
UUGGGGUUCAUGUCCGCGUCCAGCAGGAUGUUGCUGGCCUUGAGGUCGCGGUGGAUGAUGGUCAGCCUCGAGUCCUCGUGGAGGUAGAGGAGCCCUCGCCCGAUGCCCUCGAUGAUCCUCUGCCUCAGUCCCCAGCCCAGCUCAUGCCGCCGUGCUGGAUAUGCCAGCUCAGUUUUAUCAGUGGAUGUGAUCUGACUCUCAAGUGUACUACUGCUAGUCUGAAUGAAGCAAGCAGUCACCGAAGAUGAUUUUGUCGAGGCUAUUGUUGGUGAGGAACUCGUAGACGAGGAGCCUCUCGUGCUCCUCGGUGCAGCAGCCGAGCAGGCGCACCAAGUUCCUGUGCUGGA